AAAGGUUGACCUCGGAUCAGGUAGGAAUACCCGCUGAAUUUAAGCAUAUCAAUAACCGGA
RNAcentral lists this ribosomal RNA (60 nucleotides) under Colletotrichum taiwanense. RNAcentral describes it as "partial 28S ribosomal RNA". The record is from RNAcentral. Lineage: Eukaryota; Fungi; Ascomycota; Sordariomycetes; Glomerellales; Glomerellaceae.